CUACGGGUCGCUGCAGUGGGGAAUAUUGCACAAUGGAGGAAACUCUGAUGCAGCAACGCCGCGUGGAGGAUGACACUUUUCGGAGCGUAAACUCCUUUUAUAUAGGAAGAAGAUGACGGUACUAUAUGAAUAAGCGCCGGCUAACUCCGUGCCAGCAGCCGCGGUAAUACGGAGGGCGCAAGCGUUACUCGGAAUCACUGGGCGUAAAGAGCGUGUAGGCGGAUUAAAAGGUCAGAAGUGAAAUCCUAUAGCUUAACUAUAGAACUGCUUCUGAAACUCUUAAUCUAGAAUAUGGGAGAGGUAGAAGGAAUUUCUGGUGUAGGGGUAAAAUCCGUAGAGAUCAGAAGGAAUACCGAUUGCGAAGGCGAUCUACUAGAACAUUAUUGACGCUGAGACGCGAAAGCGUGGGGAGCAAACAGGAUUAGAUACCCGCGUAGUC
This 439-nucleotide ribosomal RNA is filed under the name uncultured bacterium. RNAcentral describes it as "partial 16S ribosomal RNA". It matches the Rfam family "Bacterial small subunit ribosomal RNA", at positions 339 to 795 of the family's 1533-position model. The record is from RNAcentral.